AACGAACGCUGGCGGCAGGCUUAACACAUGCAAGUCGAACGCCCCGCAAGGGGAGUGGCAGACGGGUGAGUAACGCGUGGGAACAUACCCUUUUCUACGGAAUAGCUCUGGGAAACUGGAAUUAAUACCGUAUACGCCCUACGGGGGAAAGAUUUAUCGGGGAAGGAUUGGCCCGCGUUGGAUUAGCUAGUUGGUGGGGUAAAGGCCUACCAAGGCGACGAUCCAUAGCUGGUCUGAGAGGAAGAUCAGCCACAUUGGGACUGAGACACGGCCCAAACUCCUACGGGAGGCAGCAGUGGGGAAUAUUGGACAAUGGGCGCAAGCCUGAUCCAGCCAUGCCGCGUGAGUGAUGAAGGCCUUAGGGUUGUAAAGCUCUUUCACCGAUGAAGAUAAUGACGGUAGUCGGAGAAGAAGCCCCGGCUAACUUCGUG
This 431-nucleotide ribosomal RNA is filed under the name uncultured bacterium. RNAcentral's name for it is "partial 16S ribosomal RNA". It matches the Rfam family "Bacterial small subunit ribosomal RNA", at positions 29 to 507 of the family's 1533-position model. The record is from RNAcentral.